UACGGGGGGGGCAAGCGUUGUUCGGAAUUACUGGGCGUAAAGGGCUCGUAGGCGGCCAACUAAGUCGGACGUGAAAUCCCUCAGCUUAACUGGGGAACUGCGUCCGAUACUGGAUGGCUUGGAUUUGGGAGAGGGAUGCGGAAUUCCAGGUGUAGCGGUGAAAUGCGUAGAUAUCGGGAGGAACACCAGUGGCGAAGGCGACUUCCUGGCCUGUUCUUGACGCUGAGGCGCGAAAGCUAGGGUAGCAAACGGG
RNAcentral lists this ribosomal RNA (253 nucleotides) under uncultured bacterium. RNAcentral's name for it is "partial 16S ribosomal RNA". It matches the Rfam family "Bacterial small subunit ribosomal RNA", at positions 524 to 776 of the family's 1533-position model. The record is from RNAcentral.